UACGAAGGGGGCUAGCGUUGUUCGGCAUUACUGGGCGUAAAGCGCGCGCAGGCGGCUAUCCAAGUCAGUGGUGAAAGCCCGGAGCUCAACUCCGGAACUGCCAUUGAAACUGUUUAGCUUGAGGAUGAGAGAGGUGAGUGGAAUUCCCAGUGUAGAGGUGAAAUUCGUAGAUAUUCGCAAGAACACCGGUGGCGAAGGCGGCUCACUGGCCCGGUACUGACGCUGAGAUGCGAAAGCGUGGGGAGCAAACAGG
RNAcentral lists this ribosomal RNA (253 nucleotides) under uncultured bacterium. RNAcentral's name for it is "partial 16S ribosomal RNA". It matches the Rfam family "Bacterial small subunit ribosomal RNA", at positions 524 to 776 of the family's 1533-position model. The record is from RNAcentral.